Molecule: ribosomal RNA, 468 nt
Filed under: uncultured bacterium
Lineage: Bacteria
Description: partial 16S ribosomal RNA
Rfam family: Bacterial small subunit ribosomal RNA
Source: RNAcentral
GACGAACGCUGGCGGCGAGCUUAACACAUGCAAGUCGAACGGAAAGGCCCUGCUUUUGUGGGGUGCUCGAGUGGCGAACGGGUGAGUAACACGUGAGUAACCUGCCCUUGACUUUGGGAUAACUUCAGGAAACUGGGGCUAAUACCGGAUAGGAGCUCCUGCUGCAUGGUGGGGGUUGGAAAGUUUCGGCGGUUGGGGAUGGACUCGCGGCUUAUCAGCUUGUUGGUGGGGUAGUGGCUUACCAAGGCUUUGACGGGUAGCCGGCCUGAGAGGGUGACCGGCCACAUUGGGACUGAGAUACGGCCCAGACUCCUACGGGAGGCAGCAGUGGGGAAUAUUGCACAAUGGGCGGAAGCCUGAUGCAGCAACGCCGCGUGCGGGAUGACGGCCUUCGGGUUGUAGACCGCUUUCGCCUGUGACGAAGCGUGAGUGACGGUAAUGGGUAAAGAAGCACCGGCUAACUACGUG